GAUCCUGGCUCAGGAUGAACGCUAGCGGCAGGCUUAACACAUGCAAGUCGAGGGGCAGCAUAAUGGAUAGCAAUAUCUAUGGUGGCGACCGGCGCACGGGUGCGUAACGCGUAUGCAACCUACCUUUAACGAGGGGGAUAACACUGAGAAAUUGGUACUAACUACCCCAUAAUAUCAUAGAAGGCAUUCUUUUAUGGUUAGAAAAUUCCGAUGGUUAGAGAUGGGCAUGCGUUGUAUUAG
RNAcentral lists this ribosomal RNA (240 nucleotides) under uncultured bacterium. Its description in RNAcentral is "partial 16S ribosomal RNA". It matches the Rfam family "Bacterial small subunit ribosomal RNA", at positions 15 to 244 of the family's 1533-position model. The record is from RNAcentral.